GAGGGGAAAAAUUUUGGAGGGUCUGGACUCUGAGGGAACAUGAAAAGGUGUUGAAUAACCAUCAUGUUUACACAACAGCCAAAAGUUUCUCACUUGUGCAAUCUCAUUACAAGUUUCACACUAUAAACUUUGUAUUGAUUACCUAGAAAUAGGGUAACUGUUGCUGUCCACUUAGAAACAACAAGCACUGAGCAAUCAAUAUAAACA
RNAcentral lists this unclassified non-coding RNA (207 nucleotides) under Hevea brasiliensis (rubber tree). Lineage: Eukaryota; Viridiplantae; Streptophyta; Magnoliopsida; Malpighiales; Euphorbiaceae. The record is from RNAcentral.